RNAcentral lists this ribosomal RNA (460 nucleotides) under uncultured bacterium. RNAcentral's name for it is "partial 16S ribosomal RNA". It matches the Rfam family "Bacterial small subunit ribosomal RNA", at positions 338 to 795 of the family's 1533-position model. The record is from RNAcentral.
CCUACGGGCGGCUGCAGUGAGGAAUAUUGGUCAAUGGCCGGAAGGCUGAACCAGCCAUGCCGCGUGAAGGUCAGUGCCCUAUGGGCGUUAAACUUCUUUUGUGCGGGAGCAAUAAUGGUCACGUGUGGCCAGACGAGAGUACCGUACGAAUAAGCAUCGGCUAACUCCGUGCCAGCAGCCGCGGUAAUACGGGGGAUGCAAGCUUUAUCCGGAUUUAUUGGGGUUAAAGGGUGCGUAGGCUGUGAGGUAAGUCAGCGGUGAAAUGCCCCCGCUCAACGGGGUGAAGUGCCAUUGAUACUGCCUUGCUGGAAUGCGGAUGCCGUGGGAGGAAUGUGUGGUGUAGCGGUGAAAUGCAUAGAUAUCACACAGAACACCGAUUGCGAAGACAUCUCACGAAUCCGCGAUUGACGCUGAUGCACGAAAGCGUGGGUAUCAAACAGGAUUAGAUACCCCAGUAGUC